GACGAACGCNGGCGGCGUGCCUAAUACAUGCAAGUAGAACGCUGAAGGAGGAGCUUGCUUCUCUGGAUGAGUUGCGAACGGGUGAGUAACGCGUAGGUAACCUGCCUGGUAGCGGGGGAUAACUAUUGGAAACGAUAGCUAAUACCGCAUAAAAUUGAUUAUUGCAUGAUAGUCAAUUAAAAGGUGCAAUUGCAUCACUACCAGAUGGACCUGCGUUGUAUUAGCUAGUUGGUGGGGUAACGGCUCACCAAGGCAACGAUACAUAGCCGACCUGAGAGGGUGAUCGGCCACACUGGGACUGAGACACGGCCCAGACUCCUACGGGAGGCAGCAGUAGGGAAUCUUCGGCAAUGGACGGAAGUCUGACCGAGCAACGCCGCGUGAGUGAAGAAGGUUUUCGGAUCGUAAAGCUCUGUUGUAAGAGAAGAACGAGUGUGAGAGNGGAAAGUUCACACNGNGACGGU
This 464-nucleotide ribosomal RNA is filed under the name uncultured bacterium. RNAcentral's name for it is "bacterial SSU rRNA". It matches the Rfam family "Bacterial small subunit ribosomal RNA", at positions 28 to 476 of the family's 1533-position model. The record is from RNAcentral.